RNAcentral lists this long non-coding RNA (340 nucleotides) under Physcomitrium patens. RNAcentral's name for it is "long non-coding RNA (PPAT_LNC003622)". The record is from RNAcentral. Lineage: Eukaryota; Viridiplantae; Streptophyta; Bryopsida; Funariales; Funariaceae.
AAUUUGAAGAAGAUCAAACUUACUAAAUAGAAGAUCAAUCCUAAAUUCUACUUAGGUAUUGACUAGCCUCUUAUUCCAAUCUAAAUGUUGAACUUUCAGCACCAAUGUUUCCUUCUUCAACCAUUGAAUUACUUUCAAAAUUCACCUAAAUUGAUAAAAAUCAAGUCUAAUUUCUAGACAAAAUAAAUUUAUUUCAAUCCAAUUGAUAAAUUGUUAAAGAUCUUAGAAAUAUUCACUGACCUUCAAACUCCAAUUUUUGAAAUCUCAACCUACAAGAACCUUCACAUACUUUGAUCUAAUCAUUCAAUCAACCUCAAAAUUUGCACACACACUAACAACU